UACAGAGGAUGCAAGCGUUAUCCGGAAUGAUUGGGCGUAAAGCGUCUGUAGGUGGCUUUUUAAGUCCGCCGUCAAAUCCCAGGGCUCAACUCUGGACAGGCGGUGGAAACUACCAAGCUGGAGUACGGUAGGGGCAGAGGGAAUUUCCGGUGGAGCGGUGAAAUGCGUAGAGAUCGGAAAGAACACCAACGGCGAAAGCGCUCUACUGGACCGCAACUGACACUCAGGGACGAAAGCUAGGGGAGCGAAUGGG
RNAcentral lists this ribosomal RNA (253 nucleotides) under uncultured bacterium. RNAcentral's name for it is "partial 16S ribosomal RNA". It matches the Rfam family "Bacterial small subunit ribosomal RNA", at positions 524 to 776 of the family's 1533-position model. The record is from RNAcentral.